UACAGAGGUCCCAAGCGUUGUUCGGAUUCAUUGGGCGUAAAGGGUGCGUAGGCGGCGCGGUAAGUCGGGUGUGAAAUCUCGGGGCUUAACUCCGAAACUGCAUUCGAUACUGCCGUGCUUGAGGACUGGAGAGGAGACUGGAAUUUACGGUGUAGCGGUGAAAUGCGUAGAUAUCGUAAGGAAGACCAGUGGCGAAGGCGGGUCUCUGGACAGUUCCUGACACUGAGGCACGAAGGCCAGGGGAGCAAACGGG
This 253-nucleotide ribosomal RNA is filed under the name uncultured bacterium. RNAcentral describes it as "partial 16S ribosomal RNA". It matches the Rfam family "Bacterial small subunit ribosomal RNA", at positions 524 to 776 of the family's 1533-position model. The record is from RNAcentral.